This is a long non-coding RNA of Helianthus annuus (common sunflower), 1533 nucleotides long. RefSeq lists it as uncharacterized. The record is from RefSeq and is a predicted model, not a curated record. The transcript is spliced from 2 exons. NCBI's taxonomy places the organism in Eukaryota, Viridiplantae, Streptophyta, Magnoliopsida, Asterales, Asteraceae.
AUUAGUGAGAAUCUUGUAUGAUAUGGAAAAAUUUAGUGAGGGUCUGCCAAAACAAACCCACUAAAAAAAGUUUCUGAAUCCACCACUGCAUAGAGCAAAACCCGACUCGUGAGAGAACCGACCCGACCCGAUACCGGAACAACAUGAAAUACAGGAACCAAACAUUGGACUUAUUAAUUCUCGGGUUCGGUCCUUUCUGAUAUCGGGUUCUCGGUUUUGUGGGAAUACCCGAGACUCCGCCUUUUCACUGAGAUACAAACCCAGUUCAAGUGCUACAGGUUCUGUACACUUCUUUGAACACUGAUGCACAACUAACAAAUUGGAAAACUAAUAAUGGCGACCCAUGGAGCGCGUCAUGGGAGAGAGAUGCCUUGUAAAAAUGGCUAGCUAUUGGGCAUUUGAAGAUGGUGCACGAUGCUUAUACAAGACCCCGAGACCGUACAACCAAUUUUUAGGUAUAACUUUUUCCUAUCAGAUUCAAAAGGCUCAACUUUAAGAGGUUUUUUUUUCUAAUAUAGUGCUGUUUUGAAAAACCUUUUCACAAGUAAUGCCAUGUUCAAAAAUAUUUCACAAAUUAUGCUAUCUCCUUUAUAAAUGGCGAUUUUUAUUGGGAAGUAGGGUGUGACAGGAAUGUUCACAGAAUGUGUAAGCUUUAAUCAUUGAAUAUGGUACAAAAUCCAAUCAUAAUGGCGAUUUCUACAUGUGUAGCCAUUCUAAAUGGCGAUUUCUGCAAAAGUAUGAUUGGAUUUUGUACCAUACUUUUGUAGAAAUCGCCAUUUAGAAUGGCUACACAUGCAGAAAUCGCCAUUAUGAUUGGAUUUUGUACCAUAUUCAAUGAUUAAAGCUUACACAUUCCCUGAACAUUCCUGCCACACCCUACUUCCCAAUAAAAAUCGCCAUUUAUAAUGAAGAUAGCAUUAUUUGUGAAAUAAUUUUGAACGUGGCAUUACUUGUGAAAAGGUUUUCCAAAACAGCACUAUAUUAGCAAAAAACUCCAACUUUAAACUCAUCUUUUAAGUGAGAAGGAUGCCAUUUGAAUUCAAGCCUUUUUCCAUGAUGUCUAGUUUUUUUUUCCAGCGAAUUUCUUGUCAUAAAGCCAACUUUACAUUUAUCAACAACAGAAAAAUCAUUGUCAGAAUUGCAUUUCUUAGGUGAUCUCAUCAUGAAAAGCAAAUCACUUGAAAAGGAAAAUGCAAAAGAAAGUUCAUAUUUCUUAGUAACAUGAAGUGUCAUUACACUUUUAUCAAUUGUGUUAUCUUACAUGUCAACUCUAAGGUUCUUUCCCUUUCAAUGGUAGUGACCUAUAUAGUAACCAACUAUGAGCCACAUUAAAGGCCUUUAUAGUACUACCCCAUUAGGCCGAAACUAGUAAAGAUGUUAAAACAGGUUAUGUUCGCGUGUCUCUUAGCAUCAACCUAAAAAUCGUGUUACAUGCGCGAACAUAGUUGAUUGGGACGCGAUUCAUUUAAUCUGAAAACUUGUAUUUUUUAUUUUGUGUAUUACAAAAUCAAAAAGCACUUCAUGGCUAUAAAA